GCCGAGCUCAGUUGCGAGAGCUUGUAAUCCGAAUGGGGGCAUUAAGAUGAUGUGCACGCUGUUGUAGUGUUGCGGGCCUGGUCUGGGUGUGCUACUGCUGGCCUGCCCGUUCCAAGUUGUGUAGUGGGCCGCUUGGGGCCUAUGCGAAAGCUGGGCCUCACGGUCCAUAAUGUGGGAGGCACAGCGUGAGGCUGGCUUCACAGAGCAGCGACAACUGCCCGCUUCCAACGGUGGAAGGAUAACAGGCCGCUGCACUCCUUGGCCGCUUGGGCCUCGCAGCCUACUCUAGUGGACCAUCACUUUU
RNAcentral lists this signal recognition particle RNA (304 nucleotides) under Triticum turgidum subsp. durum (durum wheat). RNAcentral's name for it is "Triticum durum (durum wheat) Plant signal recognition particle RNA". It matches the Rfam family "Plant signal recognition particle RNA". The record is from Rfam by way of RNAcentral. RNAcentral also lists the same sequence under 1 other name. Lineage: Eukaryota; Viridiplantae; Streptophyta; Magnoliopsida; Poales; Poaceae.